UUAAAGUUUUGUUUUGGCUUAUUAUAUAAAUAUAUUGUAAAUUAUAUGUAAAUAUUUUAUUUUAAAAAAUAAAAGUGCAGUAAAUUUAAUUAAAAAUUAAAGAAAUUUAGAAUUAGUUAUAAAUUUUAGAAUAAACAUAAUUUGUGCCAGCAGUUGCGGUUAAACAAAUUAUUCAAUUUAUAUUUUUUAAAAUUUUAAUAUUUAAUUAAAAUGAAAUUUAUAAUUUAAUUUUAUUAAGUGAAAUUUUAAAAUUAAUUUAUAUUAAUAAAAAUUUAAAUUUUAAUAAAUUUAAUAAAAAACUAGGAUUAGAUACCCUAUUAUUAUAAAUAAAAAAUUAUUUUAAUUAGUAUAAAUUAUUUUUUUUUGAAAAUUAAAAAAUUUGGCGGUAUUUUAGUCUAUUCAGAGGAAUCUGUUCUGUAAUUGAUAGUCCACGAAUAUUUUUACUUAUUUUUAGUUUAUAUAUCGUCGUAGUUGAUUAUUUUAUAAGAAUAUAAUAGUCAAAAUUUUUUAUUAAAAAAAAUAAAUCAGAUCAAGAUAUAGCUUAUAAAUAAGAAGAAAUGGAUUACAAUAAAUUUAUUUUUGGUUAAUUAUUUUAAUAAUAAUUAUAAAUUGGAUUUGAAAGUAAUUUAAUUUUAUUAUUUAUAUGAUUUUAGCUCUAAAAUAUGUACAUAUCGCCCGUCACCUUCAAAUAAAUUGAAGUAAGUCGUAACAUAGUAAAUGUACUGGAAAGUGUAUUUAGGAUUCA
RNAcentral lists this non-coding RNA (745 nucleotides) under Stenus comma. The record is from RNAcentral. Lineage: Eukaryota; Metazoa; Arthropoda; Insecta; Coleoptera; Staphylinidae.